Molecule: ribosomal RNA, 1241 nt
Filed under: uncultured crenarchaeote
Lineage: Archaea; Thermoproteati; Thermoproteota
Description: bacterial SSU rRNA
Rfam family: Archaeal small subunit ribosomal RNA
Source: RNAcentral
UGGUGGGGCGCGGCAUACGGCUCAGUAACACGUGGCUAACCUACCCUUAGGACGGGGACAACCCCGGGAAACUGGGGCUAAUACCCGAUAGGUGAGGAGGCCUGGAAUGGUUCCUCGCUGAAAAAUGUUGAGACCAUGCUCCCAACAUUGCCUAAGGAUGGGGCCGCGGCCGAUCAGGUUGUUGGUGGGGUAACGGCCCACCAAGCCUAUAACCGGUACGGGCCCUGAGAGGGGGAGCCCGGAGAUGGGUACUGAGACAAGGGCCCAGGUCCUACGGGGUGCAGCAUGCGCGAAACCUCCGCAAUGCGCGAAAGCGUGACGGGGUUACCCCGAGUGCCGUCCGCUGAGGAUGGCUUUUCUUCGGUGUAAGGGGCCGAAGGAAUAAGGGGAGGGCAAGUCUGGUGUCAGCCGCCGCGGUAAUACCAGCUCCCCGAGUGGUGGGGGUGAUUAUUGGGCUUAAAGCGUCCGUAGCCGGCCUGACAAGUCUUUCGUUAAAUCCAGCGAUCCAAUCGCUGGGCCGCGGGAGAUACUGUCAGGCUAGGGGAUGGGAGAGGCCGAUGGUAUUCCUGGGGUAGGGGUGAAAUCCUAUAAUCCCAGGAGGACCACCAGUGGCGAAGGCGGUCGGCCAGAACAGGCUCGACGGUGAGGGACGAAAGCUGGGGGAGCGAACCGGAUUAGAUACCCGGGUAGUCCCAGCUGUAAACGAUGCGGGCUAGGUGUCGGGGCGGCCACGAGCCGCUUCGGUGCCGCAGGGAAGCCAUUAAGCCCGCCGCCUGGGAAGUACGGCCGCAAGGCUGAAACUUAAAGGAAUUGGCGGGGGAGCACCACAAGGGGUGAAGCUUGCGGUUCAAUUGGAGUCAACGCCGGGAACCUUACCGGGGGCGACAGCAGGAUGAGGGCCAGAUUGAAGGUCUUGCUGGACGAGCUGAGAGGAGGUGCAUGGCCGUCGCCAGUUCGUGCCGUGAGGUGUCCUGUCAAGUCAGGCAACGAUCGAGACCCGCACCCCUAGUUGCCAUCGGAUCCCGUUGGAAUCCGAGCACACUAGAGGGACCGCCACCGAUAAGGUGGAGGAAGGAGCGGGCCACGGCAGGUCAGUAUGCCCCGAAUCCCCCGGGCCACACGCGAGCUGCAAUGGCAGGGACAAUGGGCUCCAACCCCGAGAGGGGAAGGUAAUCCCCAAACCCUGCCUCAGUUGGGAUCGGGGGCUGCAACCCGCCCCCGUGAACAUGGAAUCCCUAGUA